Molecule: RNA transcript, 2256 nt
Organism: Cephus cinctus (wheat stem sawfly)
Lineage: Eukaryota; Metazoa; Arthropoda; Insecta; Hymenoptera; Cephidae
Exons: 6
Source: RefSeq, a predicted model, not a curated record
GUUUGACGAAGGUAAAUCGAAAGAGAAAGCUAGCCCGUGUCGUAAGAUCUUGUUAAGUCGAAGUCGACUUUAGGAUUCAGUUAGUUGCUGACCGCACAACGCUCAGAGCCGGUAUCAGUGUCGACAGUUGGAGAGAUAUCAAAUCGAAUCGGAUCGGAUCAUCCAGUCGUGCAUAGAAACUCAUCAACGUUGAAUCAUAAGCAGACACCUUCAGCGGACUAGAUAGGAGAAAGGCAAGAUGUUUAAACUCGAAAUCAUCCUAACCGUACUGACAAUCAGUUUGAAUUUGGCGCUCUCGAGACCUGCUGAAGAGCCAAUCAGAAUCGAUCUGACGCCAACGCAAGCUACCGACUUGUCCAGCAGACUACAAGAAGGAAAGGAAUUAUUAGGACAAUUAGCGGACAGAGUGAGAUUCGGCAGAGGGAGAUUCGUCAAUUCGGCUGCCAUGGUUAGAAACAUCAUUGUAAAUCAUGCUGAGGAAGCUGCCAGUGAAGCACAAAACAAUGUGGCUUCAGUGAUAGCGGCCAAGAGUGAUAUUGUGGCUCAAGGACAAAAUGUCCUGAAUUCUAUUCAAAAAGGGGUCUUUGCUAACUUCCUAGCACCCAAGACACGUGAAACUGUACGACUUGAGAGUGAAGCUGGACAGGCUUUCUUUGAGAGAAACAAGGAGAGUCCUGUAGAAACAAUCCUCGGAAAUAUUCUGAGACCGACGCCUUUGGUCGAUGGAAUUCGCGAGGAAGAAAAGUAUGGCAACUCUGGUGACAAAUUUUCUGGUAUUGGCAGGGCGUUGGUUAAUGGUUUCGAAGGAAUCAGUAAUUUUCUCAACAGCGUAGUAGACCUGCCCAUCGACGCAGCUAAAAAAACUUCGCGCGGUGUCACGGAAGCACUCAACCAAAUUGGCGCGCGAUUAAUAGGACUGCAGUGAUAAGUGUCUGAUAAGAAAUACGAAUAAUGCAUAUGCAAUGUAUAAGAGUGGCCUGAUCAAAAUGUAAAUAGAAGCGGUAAGAGGGACGGAGCUGAGAAAAAUACUAGAGGAAAAAGAAGAAAAAGCACCAAAUGGUACUACGGAAUAGUCCGGAUAACGUAACGCACGUAAAUGGUAAAGAAGAGUACGGAUGGGGGCGUAGAAACGGUCCCCAGGGACUUCCUGCCAAUUGCGGACAAUUUGCAAUCAUCUAUGAUCCCCACACGUUACGUCUCGCUACUCUGCCUAAGCUUGUGAACGGUGCUUAAAGUUUUAACGCAGAGUUGGAUCUCGUCGAAUCGCGCACACUAAAACGCCGACCUACGUUUGAUGCUCCCACGGGAGAGCAGCGACUUUUUGAAAAGUUGAAAGACCGCGUGGGGAGGUUGACAAGUUUUCUACAAUGCGAUUCUGCAGUUUCAUAGAAACUGCUUGAAGUAUUUUUUCACAAAUUUCUAUCAAACUUUUAUACGACUUAAAUAAAAUGUAUAUAGAUGUAUUUUGAAAUUCAUAAUUAUUCAUUUUGGACGUAUUCAUCUAAAUUAGGCAUACUUAAUUUACGACUCAUAUAGAUCUGUCGAAUCUGAUCAACCUACUGAUUAUUGGAUUAAUUUAUAAUCGUCGUUGCGCAAUCUACAUACUCGUGUACCUACGUACAGUGCAAUUGUCUUAUGCAACUCUGCGAGUGCAUCCACGUACUUAACGAAUUGACCCAUUUAUCAAAAUAUCAAUUUUCCCAUGAGAAAUCAAUGCGUUUAAUGACAGACGCUUCUCCUUCAAAUACCUCCUAUUCAUUUGUAUUAGCUCUUUGUAUCCUCUGUACAAGAUAACGUAAUCAGUAAGGAAACAAGGAAAAACGAUGGUCAAUAAUAAUAUACAAAUAUAUACAAAUAUUAUAAAUUAACCAGUAAACAAAAAAUUCACAUAUAUCCAUAUAUGAAAUUGUAACAAAUACUAUGUAAAAACAAUAUAUUUAUAGCAUGUGAAAAUUGUAAUACAAAUUUAUAUAAAUAUAUGUAUAUACAUAUAUAGUGCGUAGUAUUCAUUUGCACAGUAAUAGUUUCGUCCGUCAACUAGCAACGAGUUAAUUCUUUCCGUCAGAAUGUAAAUCAUCUCGUCAAGGUUAAUGAGGCCUUGUGGACGUUUACAAUAAAUUUAUCAGCAUGGAUGAAGCAGUACGAAGGUAACACGUCAAUUAAUUUGGGCCAAUGAACUACGUAAGACUUCCCAGUGCGUUGUCGUACAAAAAAUUAUUGAUUACUGAACAAAAAUAUAUCGCAGUUCAAAGUCUG